Zalophus californianus (California sea lion) is the source of this 2878-nucleotide RNA transcript. It is a transcript of the gene named WD repeat domain 73, with no coding region annotated. NCBI's taxonomy places the organism in Eukaryota, Metazoa, Chordata, Mammalia, Carnivora, Otariidae. The record is from RefSeq and is a predicted model, not a curated record. The transcript has 10 exons.
CCGAGGAAGGUCCUCAGAGGCGGAAGUGGGGUACCGGAAGCGGCGUUGCCAUGGAGUCCGCGGAGGACUGGCUGGUGGAAUCCUUGCGCUUGUACCAAGAUUUCCAUGCAUUCGACCUUUCGGGAGCCACUCGAGUCCUUGAAUGGAUUGGUGACAAAGGAGUCUUUGUUGCUGGCUAUGAAAGCCUGAAAAAAAACGAGAUCCUUCAUCUGAUACUACCUCUCAGACUUUCUGUAAAAGAAAACCAGUCAGAGAGAGGCACAAGCACUGGUCCCGCCCUGCUUGUCUCACGGGGAGGCAGGGAUGCACCAGAGGGCUUAUGCCCAGAAAGAGAUUUCAAGGUGUGCCACGGAGGAUUUUCAGACACGUCUGUCUUUGAUCUGAAGCACGUGCCAGACACCAGGUUGCUGGUAACCACUGGUCUUCCGGGUUCUUACCUGCAUGUGUGGCAGGUCACAGAGGACAGUGACGUCAUUCAAGCCGUCAGCACCAUUGCUGUGCAGGAGAAGGAGGGCAGUCUCUGGCCCAGGGUGGCCGUCUUCUCUUCGAUGGCACCCGGAGUGCUCCACGGGGUGAGGCUCAGCAGUCUGAAGGUCGUGGAUCUGGAAUCGCAGAAGACCACAUACACCUCAGGGGUCAGUGACAGUGAGGAGCUAAGUAGCCUGCAGGUCUUGGAUGCAGACACCUUUGCCUUCUGCUGUUCCUCGGGCCGGCUGGGGCUUGUCGACAUCCGCCAGAAGUGGGCGCCAUCAGAGAAUGUCAGCCCCAACCUUGGGGCUGCUGGAGGGAGGUGGUGUGCUGAAGUUGGGGGCCGGGGCCCUGGGCCCAGCAUUGCCAGCCUUGGCUCAGACGGACAACUCUGUCUUCUGGAUCCCCGGGAUCUCUGCCAUCCUGUGAGUUCCGUCCAGUGCUCAGUGUCUGCACCCAGCCCCGACCCAGAGCUGCUGCGAGUGACCUGGGCGCCAGGCCUGGACAGCUGUUUGGCCAUUUCAGGUUUUGAUGGGACAGUCCAGGUCUAUGAUGCCACAUCUUGGGAUGGAGUGGGGAGCCAAGUAGAACCUCUCUUCACUCACAGAGGUCACAUCUUCCUGGAGGGCAGCCGGAUAGACAGUGCUCCACUGGUCACUACCCACACUUGGCACCCACACAAACCACGGACUCUCUUAUCGGCAGCAAGCGACGCCUCUCUGCACGUGUGGGACUGGGUGGACCUCCGUGCGGCCUGCUGACUCCAGCGUCUUCCUGCCCAGGCCUUGACGAAGAGGAGGAGCUGCUGUAGAACCAAGCUCUGUGACCAUCAUGGGCUCUGGCUUGCUGGCCGUCAGUGGGCACACUUGUAUCCAUCAGCUCGGGCCGCCCUAACAGAACACCACAGACUAAAGGCUCACACAGCAGAAGCUUCGCUGCUCACAGUCCUGGAGGCUGGAAGUCCAAGACCCAGGUGCCAGCACGUUUCCUUCGGAAUCCUCUUCAGGUGGCUUAAUAGGGCCACCAUCUCUGUGUGCUCACUGUGUGCUCACCGCUCUGCAGCCCUGCAGAGAGCGCUCUGGUCUCUGUUCCUCUUACAAGGACACCAGUCCUUUCGGAUUAGUGCCCCACCCUCAUGACUUCAUUUAACCUUACUUACUUCUUGAAGGCCUUAGCUCCAAAUACUGUCACGUGGGGGGUUAGGGUUUCAACAUAAGAAUUUGGGGCAGGGGCACAAGUCAAUUCAUAGCACUUAGGAAUUAUUUUGAAGUUAGAAAAACCUGAGAAAUUUUCAAAUGAAAUGUUUUUUUUUAUUUAUUUAACAAUGAAGUUGAGGGAGUGUUAUAUAUUGGAGAAGUUUAAUUUAAAAUAUUCAGUUUCAGGAUGUGAUCAUUUUUACCAUUUUUCUAAAGUCUUCUUUCUGUCCUUUCCCCACACCCCCCACUCCCCCGUGAGAACUGAUCCUGUAGAGCUCUUCUUGGCUCUGUUAGUGACGUCACACUGUUGAAAUCAGCCAUGAUGGAAAUACUUACCCACAGAAAUUGGCAAAUACUACAGCAUACCGCAGGUUAAGCUCUAUUAUUUCACCAAAUAAAAGCAGAAAUGAGUCAGUUAGAAAAUAGUAGAAUUGAUGCAUGAAUUCAAAAGCUGCUUUGCUGAAAAAUAGUGAUAAAAUGCCUAUCAGUCAGUCAAGGUCCAGCUAGAAAGACUGAACCCACACCGAGUAAUUCAGCUGCAGGAAUUCAGUUAUGAGGCAUCUGAAAGGAUGCAGGGGAAGGUGGGACCCAUGAGAGGAGCAAAGCAGGAGGUUAGCCAGAGGGACAAAGGGGUGGGGUGUGGGUGUGACCAGAGGUGAACAGUGGGGCCUCCCAGUGGGAAGGGGAGCACGGCAAUCCUGCUGGGCAAUCCUGCUGGCCGGGGCUGGGACUGCAGAGGAGACAGCCAAAGACUGCAUGAAGUACAGAGACGGGAGAGGUCCCCUGGCUCCUCUCCUUCGGCCCUCCCGCAGCCUGCCUGUGCCCUGGCCCAGCUGUGACGGGAGCUCACCAGCAGGGUAGCCUGCACCUGCAGUACAGAGCGGGGGGGGGGACGGAACCGGGAUGGACCUGAGGACAAACAGAUGACUGGCACCACAUCUAAACCUCUACGAAUUAAGCAAGAAAAAGGAAAAAAAAAGAAAACAAAGAUUAUAAGAGAACAAUGUGUAAAAUUCUAUGUUAAUUUGAAAAGCUCAAGAUACAGUUAAUUUUCUUAAAAACUGAUAUUUGUAAACUACUUUUUAGUAGAAAAUCUGAAUUCUCCAAUACUCAAGAAAGAAAAACCUGGAGAGGCGCCUGGGGGCUCAGUCGUUAAGCAUCUGCCUUCUGCUCGGGUCAUGGUUCUAGAGUCCUGGGAUCGAGCCCCACAUCGG